Molecule: ribosomal RNA, 185 nt
Filed under: uncultured bacterium
Lineage: Bacteria
Description: partial 16S ribosomal RNA
Rfam family: Bacterial small subunit ribosomal RNA
Source: RNAcentral
CUACACGAAGCUGGAAUCGCUAGUAAUCGCGGAUCAGAAUGCCGCGGUGAAUACGUUCCCGGGUCUUGUACACACCGCCCGUCACACCAUGGGAGUCGGUAACGCCCGAAGCCAGUGACCCAACCUUAGGGAGGGAGCUGUCGAAGGCGGGACGGAUAACUGGGGUGAAGUCGUAACAAGGUAUC